GGAGAGUUGUCCGAGCUGGCCGAAGGAGCACGCCUGGAAAGUGUGUAGGCGCUUUAUCGCGUCUCGAGGGUUCGAAUCCCUCACUCUCCA
RNAcentral lists this transfer RNA (90 nucleotides) under Staphylococcus hominis. RNAcentral describes it as "tRNA-Ser". It matches the Rfam family "tRNA". Rfam says of the family: Transfer RNA (tRNA) molecules are approximately 80 nucleotides in length. Lineage: Bacteria; Bacillati; Bacillota; Bacilli; Caryophanales; Staphylococcaceae. RNAcentral also lists the same sequence under 41 other names. The record is from RNAcentral.